UACGUAGGCAGCGAGCGUUGUUCGGAAUUACUGGGCGUAAAGCGUGCGUAGGCGGUCGGCUAAGUUUGGUGUGAAAUCUCCCGGCUCAACCGGGAGGGUGCGCCGAAAACUGGCCGGCUAGAGUGCGGGAGAGGGAAGUGGAAUUCCUGGUGUAGCGGUGAAAUGCGUAGAUAUCAGGAGGAACACCGGUGGUGAAGACGGCUUCCUGGACCGUGACUGACGCUGAGGCACGAAAGCGUGGGGAGCAAACAGG
Molecule: ribosomal RNA, 253 nt
Filed under: uncultured bacterium
Lineage: Bacteria
Description: partial 16S ribosomal RNA
Rfam family: Bacterial small subunit ribosomal RNA
Source: RNAcentral